UACGUAGGGUGCGAGCGUUAAUCGGAAUUACUGGGCGUAAAGCGUGCGCAGGCGGUUUUGUAAGACAGGCGUGAAAUCCCCGGGCUCAACCUGGGAACUGCGUUGGAAACUGUCAGGCUAGAGUGUAGCAGAGGGGGGUAGAAUUCCACGUGUAGCAGUGAAAUGCGUAGAGAUGUGGAGGAAUACCGAUGGCGAAGGCAGCCCCCUGGGUUAACACUGACGCUCAUGCACGAAAGCGUGGGGAGCAAACAGGAUUAGAUACCCGAGUAGU
RNAcentral lists this ribosomal RNA (271 nucleotides) under uncultured bacterium. RNAcentral describes it as "partial 16S ribosomal RNA". It matches the Rfam family "Bacterial small subunit ribosomal RNA", at positions 524 to 794 of the family's 1533-position model. The record is from RNAcentral.